GACGAACGCUGGCGGCGUGCUUAACACAUGCAAGUCGUACGGUAAGGCCCUUUCGGGGGUACACGAGUGGCGAACGGGUGAGUAACACGUGAGUAACCUGCCCACAACUUUGGGAUAACGCUAGGAAACUGGUGCUAAUACUGGAUAUGUGCUCCUGCUGCAUGGUGGGGGUUGGAAAGCUCCGGCGGUUGUGGAUGGACUCGCGGCCUAUCAGCUUGUUGGUGGGGUAGUGGCCUACCAAGGCGGCGACGGGUAGCCGGCCUGAGAGGGUGACCGGCCACAUUGGGACUGAGAUACGGCCCAGACUCCUACGGGAGGCAGCAGUGGGGAAUAUUGCACAAUGGGCGCAAGCCUGAUGCAGCAACGCCGCGUGCGGGAUGACGGCCUUCGGGUUGUAAACCGCUUUCAGCAGGGACGAAGCUUUUUGUGACGGUACCUGCAGAAGAAGCACCGGCUAACUACGG
RNAcentral lists this ribosomal RNA (464 nucleotides) under uncultured bacterium. Its description in RNAcentral is "partial 16S ribosomal RNA". It matches the Rfam family "Bacterial small subunit ribosomal RNA", at positions 28 to 506 of the family's 1533-position model. The record is from RNAcentral.